This is a long non-coding RNA of Haliotis rubra (blacklip abalone), 105 nucleotides long. RefSeq lists it as uncharacterized. The transcript has 3 exons. The record is from RefSeq and is a predicted model, not a curated record. Lineage: Eukaryota; Metazoa; Mollusca; Gastropoda; Lepetellida; Haliotidae.
AAAUGAGAGUCAUGGUGACCCACAGUAUUUAUUUUGGGGAGUCCUUUUCAAUAUCUGGGAGUCAUGAAAAUUUUAGCGUAAUAUUUAUGUGUUUGAAUCAUUCUC